GCCGGCCCCGCCCCAAACAUUUCUGAAGAUGAGCAGCCACCACUUAGUAAGCAUCCGACGGCCGGUGGGAGGAGGCAAGAGAGUCCACAGCUGCAGGAGGAACGACGCAAACUCUCCGCUCAUGUCUACGGUGACAACAGCAAGCUGAUGCAGCCUGGCCCACAUUUUGGAGCUUAAGGUGCCGUCUGUGGUAAUGUGGCCAAAAAUGGUACUGCAGUCACGGUCAACAUUCUGUAGACCCCUCCUACUCUCCAUGUCUGAGGUUGCCAGAUACGCAACCCAAUCCAAAUCCUACUCCAAGGAACUUCGAACUCGACGAUUUCUACGCUCAUUUGACGGUUGGGGGCGGCCGGUGGGAGGAGGCAAGAAAGUCCGCAGCUGCGUCUUUUCCCGGAAGCUCUCCGCUCAUGUCUACGGUAAGAGCCAACUUUAUACCACCAUUUUCCCACCGAAACCUGCCGGUUGACAUAUGGUAGGUAACAAUGUUCGCUUGACCGCUCUGUUCCAUAUUAAAGCUUCACCUUCAUCUUUAGGGAACGUAAACAAAGAAACACUGGCUGUGUUUGUGUUGCUACAGCCGGCCGCAAUCCACCGCUUUCCACCAACAUCUUUCUUCUUUGACGUCUCCAUUAUUAAUUGAACAAAUUCCAAAAGAUUCAGCAACACAGAUGUCCAGAAUACUGUGUAAUUAUGCGAUUAAAGCAGACGAGUUUUUGCCGUAAUCGGUGCUGGAAGAACAUGUCCGCUACAACCCGUGACAUCAUUAGUUUACUAAAUUGCAAUUUAGUAAACUAAAGCGGCCGUAUUGGCAUGUGUUGCAAUGUUAAUAUUUCAUCAUUGAUAUAUAAACUAUCAGACUGCGUGGUCGCUAGUAGUGGGUUUCCCUAGGCCUUAAAGUUUCGUCCGUCUCACCAGACACACCAAUAAACUUGAUCAUGUUACAAAACUCCUGAUACAAAGUUGCCAUUUGCUACAUUUGUGACAUCAUUGUUACAUGUUACAAUGCAAAUUUAUAAACAUAUAGCAUCUAAAGUUGCCAAAUCGUAGCCAAAAGCUACGUUCGCUCUGCAGUCCGUAGUUUGAAGACCUAAGAUCAAGGCAGAUCAGAAACAAUGUGACCGUAGUAGCACGAGAAGUGCUUAAUUGUUGCAUAUAAUAAUUGAGCUAAAAGUAGAAAAUACACGUCUUCUUUGGCCUGGUAAGUUAAAGCAGUGUUUUUCAACCACUGUGCCGUGGCACACAGGUGUGCUGUGAGAUACAGUCUGGUGUGCUGUGGGAGAUUGUCUAAUUUCACCUAUUUGGGGUCAAAUUGUUUUUAAACCAGUAAUUAUAGUCUGCAAAUGAUGUGUUGUUGUUGUUGUUGUUGUUGAGUGUCGGUGUUGUCUAGAGCUUGGCAGAGUAACUGCAAUACUUUUCCAUAUCAGUAGGUGGCAACAGGUGCCAAUUGCUUUGUAGAUGUCGGAAAAAAGCAGGAGGUGGUGUGCAGUUAAAAGUGUGUCUAAUGCUUAAACCAAAAAUAAACAAGAAGUGAGUGCCUCUAAGAAAGGGCAUUGAAGCCUAGGGAAGGCUAAACAGAACAAAACUAAAACUGAACUGACUACAAAGUAAACAAAAACAGAAUGCUGGACGACAGCAAAGACUUACUGUGGAGCAAAGACGGCGUCCACAUCCGAACAUGUCAUGACAAUCAACAAUGUCCCUACAAAGAAGGAUUGAAAUAAUUUUGAAUUGCUAAAACAAAGUAGAUGCGGAAAAUAUCGCUGAAAAAGACAUGAAACUGCUAUAGGAAAAUACCAAAAAAGGAGAAAAAUCCACCAAAAUAGGAGUGCAAGACAAUAACUAAAACACUACACACAGGAAAACAGCACAAAACUCAAAAAAAGUCAGUGCGUGAUGUGACAGGUGGUGACAGUACACCUACUUUGAGACAAGAGCUAUAGUGAUGCAUGCUUGGUUAUGGUUUAAGGUCAUAUCCAACAAUUGCGACAACAACGCAACCUUAAAGUGAAUAAGCGGUAGAAAAUGGAUGGAUGGAUGGACUUUAUACUGUCAACCGAGUUUCGUUUUUUAAUUAUUUCUGCUUAUGGUGUGCCUUUGGAUUUUUUUUACGUAAAAAAGGUGCCUUGGCUCAAAAAAACAUUGAUAAACACUCAGUUAAAGGCUAACAUUACCACCAGACCUAUGCAAGCGUCAAUAUAUACCUGGAUGUUGCAGAAAAAAGACCAUAUAUUUUUUUAACCGAUUUCCGAACUCUAAAUGGGUGAAUUUUGGUGAAUUAAACGCCUUUCUAUUUAUCGCUCUCGGAGCAAUGUCAGAACGUGACGUCACACAGGUAAUAAAGCCGCCAUUUUGUCAAACACAUUACAAACACCGCAUCUCAUCUCUGUUAUUUUCCGUUUUUUCGACCAUUUUCUGGAACCUUGGAGACAUCAUGCCUCGUCGGUGUGUUGUCGGAGGGUGUAACAACACUAACAGGGAGGGAUUCAAGUUGCACCACUGGCCCAAAGAUGCGAAAGUGGCAAGAAAUUGGACAAAAUUUGUUGAAAAUACGAGGGUGUGGGGAAAGACGACGAAACGGUCAGUCGUUUGUUCCGCACACUUUACCGCCGAAAGCUAUGCUACUACAGAGAUGGCAAGAUUGUGUGGAUAUCCUGCGACGCUCAAAGCAGAUGCAUUUCCAACAUUAAAGUCAAAGAAAUCUUCCGCCAGACCCCCAUCGAAUGUACCGGAGUGUCUGCACAUUUUACCGGCGGUACUAAGGCAGACAUGGCACAGAGAUGUGUGGAUAACCUGCAGAUGCAUUUGCAACGAUAAAGUCAACGAAAUCACAAAGGUGGGUUUUGUUGAUGUUGACUUAUUUGCUAAUCAGACAUAUUUGGUCGCGGCGUGACUGCCAGUUAAUCGAUGCUAAGAUGUUACGCUAAUCGACGCUAACAUGCUAUUUACCGGCGGUACUAAGGCAGACAUGGCACAGAGAUGUAUGGAUAACCUGCAGAUGCAUUUGCAACAAUAAAGUCAACUAAAUCACAAAGGUGAGUUUUGUUGGCUGCCCCCGAGACCCGACCUCGGAUAAGUGGAAGAAGAUAGAUGUGGAUGUGCCACCUAUAAACCAUCAGAUACUAAAGCCCAAAAAAAUUGCCUACUACUAGCAAAAAUAAGUAAAAAAAACAACAAAAGUCUAUGGAGAGCAUUUUUGCAAAGGGAAAAGGCCAGGGGCUCCCACUAAUUGAUUGAUUGAUUGAUUGAUACUUUUAUUAGUAGAUUGCACAGUUCAGUACAUAUUUUGUACAAUUGACCACUAAAUGGUAACACCCCAAUAAGUUUUUCAACUUGUUUAAGUCGGGGUCCACGUUAAUCAAUUCAUCAAUUUAAGGUUUUACUACUUACGUAUAAAAUACUACACGGUCUAGCUCCAGCCUAUCUUGCCGAUUGUAUUGUACCGUAUGUCCCGGCAAGAAAUCUGCGUUCAAAAGACUCCGGCUUAUUAGUGAUUCCUAGAGCUCAAAAAAAGUCUGCGGGCUAUAGAGCGUUUUCCGUUCGGGCUCCAGUACUCUGGAAUGCCCUACCGGUAACAGUUCGAGAUGCUACCUCAGUAGAAGCAUUUAAGUCUCAUCUUAAAACUCAUCUGUAUACUCUAGCCUUUAAAUAGACCUCCUUUUUAGACCAGUUGAUCUGCCGCUUCUUUUCUUUCUCCUAUGUCCCCCCCUCCCUUGUGGAGGGGGUCCGGUCCGAUGACCAUGGAUGAAGUACUGACUGUCCAGAGUCGAGACCCAGGAUGGACCGCUCGUCGGGACCCAGGAUGGACCGCUCGCCUGUAUCGGUUGGGGACAUCUCUACGCUGCUGAUCCGCUUGAGAUGGUUUCCUGUGGACGGGACUCUCACUGCUGUCUUGGAGCCACUAUGGAUUGAACUUUCACAGUAUCAUGUUAGACCCGCUCGACAUCCAUUGCUUUCGGUCCCCUAGAGGGGGGGGGGUUGCCCACAUCUGAGGUCCUCUCCAAGGUUUCUCAUAGUCAGCAUUGUCGCUGGCGUCCCACUGAAUGUGAAUUCUCCCUGCCCACUGGGUGUGAGUUUUCCUUGCCCUUUUGUGGGUUCUUCCGAGGAUGUUGUAGUCGUAAUGAUUUGUGCAGUCCUUUGAGACAUUUGUGAUUUGGGGCUAUAUAAAUAAACAUUGAUUGAUUGAUUGAUGGUAAACGUUAAUGGUGAGUUUUUUUCAUGUAUUCAUUUUUCAUGGACCUAUUUUCUAUAUUUAUCUGCCACAAGUGGACGGCCAGUCGGUGAAUAUAAUGCUUACAUUAAACUGGUCCCUGGUGCAAAAAAUAGGUUUGGGGACCCCUGAUUUAAGGGAGCUAAUGCAAAUGAAGGUAAAUAAGGUCAGUGUGGCUAUGUUAACAAUUAGCAUGUCUUACAGGUGUAAUUCUGUAAGCAUGGCGUCAAGAUGCUUUUGCUUCGGUGAGAAUCACUCAAAGAUGGAGACUUAAUAAUCCCCAAAUUUUAACCGUGUAUGGAAAAAAAAAAAAAAAUCAUGCAAAUGAAGCAGGUUCUGAAUUGGAAGAGACGGCGUUUGGGUGACAUUAAUCAAAGAAAAAUAUGCAGACAAAGGUGACAGUAAUCCCAAUACUCACGCAUAAGUGGCACAGCUGUGAUUCGGCUCACUUCAUAGCUGAACAUGUGCGGAUCGCAGCCAAAAUGGGAAAUUCCAUACAUCGGGAAAAAGCGCCCUCUCUCAUUAAUUUUAUUUUAGCUCACGGUGAUCAAGUGGAUACUGACUUCUUUUUUCACACUUACAUGCCCCCGCCUUCCAAUUACAAUAAUGCAAUUACAUGUAACUUUUGGUUUUUUUUUUCCAUUAACACUCAAAGUUGGCGCAGGAGAGCGGAUUAAAAGGAAAAAAAAAAAAUGUUGCCCAGUAAAGAAGGAUCCGACCUGUUUAAAUGAGCACGGAAUCUUACGACAUAUACAUUGCAAGGUUGUCCUUUUGCUUAAGACAAUACUGCGUCCACCUGUGUAGUUUAAAUACAAAUACCUAUUACCGACCUUCUGUUCAGUAUUCCUUCAGAAACUGUUGAGACCAACACAGUCCAACACACCCUUGUUUGGUGUUCAGGUAUGGGCGACCCGUUUUCAUUUUUUAUUAAUAGAAAAAUGAUACAAUUAUUUAAUUUUUCAAACUGAGACUCAAUGACUUUGGCUCUUUUUCUGUGAAAAACAUAUAUCAGAAUACAUAUUCAGAGACCACACACCAUACACCUCUCCUACACAUUUCAAUGACAUAUAAGAUGUCCGGGUCCAUUGGACCCAGGGCUAAUAGAAGUGUGGAAAUUGAUGUUCUGUGUAACACACACACACACACACACACACACAGGAGGAGGACAGGGUGUAGGUACACAGAACAUCAAAGGGUCAAAAUGUGCGAGAAAAUGAGAGCAAACAGUGUUGACGAACAAUGUUGCAACCUUGUGUGGGAACCGCGGGUGCAGAAACACAAAAGAAGAAUGCCUGUGGGAUGCAGGAACUGGCAGAUACAUUUUCCAUGCAACAUUCAUAUUGUUGUUACUCAGCCAGUAAACAACCUUACCCAAAUAAACAUCUGUGUAUUGGGGUAAGGUAAACAUCUAUUCAGUAUUUUAACAUAAAAGUGUUUUUGUGAGGCAUUAAAAGACACAAAAUGCAACGGGUCCAUCAGACCCGACAAAAAUAGGAACAUUACACAAAGGUUAAGAAAUACAUAAAAUUGACUAAGGUAUCACAGAGCUAAGACAUCCAGAUAUGUAAGCUGGGAAAGUUCUGUGAUCUUUAGGCAAUACCACGAUCUACUCACCACAUUAUGCCUGGAAUAUUGCAUAUGUUUAUUUCCAUGAGCUGGAUUUUGAUCUGUAGGGCCUACUGAAAUUAGAUUUUCUUAUUUAAACGGGGAUAUCAGGUCCAUUCUUUUGCAACUUUUGGUCGCUAAUAAAAAAUCC
This is an RNA transcript of Nerophis ophidion (straightnose pipefish), 5963 nucleotides long. It is a transcript of the gene named nuclear receptor subfamily 4, group A, member 2a, with no coding region annotated. The record is from RefSeq and is a predicted model, not a curated record. NCBI's taxonomy places the organism in Eukaryota, Metazoa, Chordata, Actinopteri, Syngnathiformes, Syngnathidae. The transcript is spliced from 6 exons.